This 786-nucleotide ribosomal RNA is filed under the name uncultured organism. Its description in RNAcentral is "bacterial SSU rRNA". It matches the Rfam family "Bacterial small subunit ribosomal RNA", at positions 35 to 795 of the family's 1533-position model. The record is from RNAcentral.
GCUGGCGGCGUGCUUACACAUGCAAGUCGAACGAGAAUCUUUAGCUUGCUAGAGAAAGUAAAGUGGCGCACGGGUGAGUAACGCGUGGGUAAUCUGCCUNCGAAUCGGGGAUAACAUUGCGAAAGCGAUGCUAAUACCGGNNAUAAACUGGUUGGCUUAGGUGAACCGGCAUCAAGGUGGUCUCUUUAUAAAAGCUACCGUUUGGAGAUGAGCUCGCGUACCAUUAGCUAGUUGGUGAGGUAAAGGCUCACCAAGGCGACGAUGGUUAGCUGGUCUGAGAGGAUGAUCAGCCACACCGGAACUGGAACACGGUCCGGACUCCUACGGGAGGCAGCAGUGAGGAAUUUUGCGCAAUGGGGGAAACCCUGACGCAGCAACGCCGCGUGAGUGAUGAAGGCUUUCGGGUCGUAAAGCUCUGUCAGGUGGGAAGAACCCACCAAGUGUUAAGACCACUUGGUGCUGACGGUACCACCGAAGGAAGCACCGGCUAACUCCGUGCCAGCAGCCGCGGUAAUACGGGGGGUGCGAGCGUUAUUCGGAAUCAUUGGGCGUAAAGGGCGCGCAGGCGGUUUUGUAAGUCAGAUGUGAAAUCCCGGGGCUUAACCCCGGAAGUGCAUAUGAAACUAUGAGACUUGAGUAUGGGAGAGGGAAGCGGAAUUCCUGGUGUAGCGGUGAAAUGCGUAGAUAUCAGGAGGAACACCGGUGGCGAAGGCGGCUUCCUGGACCAAUACUGACGCUGAGGCGCGAAGGCGUGGGGAGCGAACAGGAUUAGAUACCCUGGUAGUC